This 497-nucleotide ribosomal RNA is filed under the name uncultured bacterium. RNAcentral describes it as "partial 16S ribosomal RNA". It matches the Rfam family "Bacterial small subunit ribosomal RNA", at positions 28 to 507 of the family's 1533-position model. The record is from RNAcentral.
GAUGAACGCUGGCGGCGUGCCUAAUACAUGCAAGUCGAGCGAACGGACGAGAAGCUUGCUUUUCUGAUGUUAGCGGCGGACGGGUGAGUAACACGUGGAUAACCUACCUAUAAGACUGGGAUAACUUCGGGAAACCGGAGCUAAUACCGGAUAAUAUUUUGAACCGCAUGGUUCAAAAGUGAAAGAAGGUCUUGCUGUCACUUAUAGAUGGAUCCGCGCUGCAUUAGCUAGUUGGUAAGGUAACGGCUUACCAAGGCAACGAUGCAUAGCCGACCUGAGAGGGUGAUCGGCCACACUGGAACUGAGACACGGUCCAGACUCCUACGGGAGGCAGCAGUAGGGAAUCUUCCGCGAUGGGCGAAAGCCUGACGGAGCAACACCGCGUGAGUGAUGAAGGUCUUCGGAUCGUAAAACUCUGUUAUUAGGGAAGAACAUAUGUGUAAGUAACUGUGCACAUCUUGACGGUACCUAAUCAGAAAGCCACGGCUAACUACGUG